UGUAUUCAUCUCCUAAAGGCCAAAUAUUUGGGCCUGAAGAGGUGUUGGACAAGGACAGGAAUGCCAUCAGGAACUUCAGCAACCGUUUUCCUAAUCAGGCCUCUGCCAUCUUGCCAGGUCAUGCUUACCUGCUGCUGCUUCUCCCUCUGAAAAUAAGUUUUCUUGCUUCCAAGUGCACAACCAUCUCAAGUUCACGUUUUCUCUUCAAGUCACCAGCAGAGAUGGACUAACGUACCCUUGUACCCUUAGUCCAGUUCCAAAGUCUCCCAAAAACCAAAUUGGCUAAUACUGGAUGAGGUCACUGCUGCAAGCCUUUCAACACACAGCACAGUGGGUGAUAUUAUAAUUCAAGCCGAACUCCAGAGCAGUUCUCUGAAGUGGAGGCAAAGUGCAGAGAAUCCCAAUUUGCAUUUUGUUCUGGGAGUUCAUGGAACCUAAGUGAAAUCCAAGAGAUUAGUCAGCUCUCUUAGAAUUCCACAUGUAUUCAGAACAUUAACCAGAGAUUGUAGGACUACAGUUUGUGGUCCAAACCCAGACCACAGACCUCUGUUGUUUGGCCCAUGUGGUAUUUUGUUUAAUUUUUUUUAGUAAUCUCUACACCAAUAUGGGGCUCAAACUCACUAUCUCAAGAUCAAGAGUCACAUACUCCGGCCCAUGUGGUAUUUUAAAAAAUGAGAAAUUUUACAUAAAAAGUAAAACAGCAAAAAUAUUCAAAAAAUAUCUACUGAAUUUGGUAGUUAGAAGUCAUGAGUGCUCUUGAGCGCGUGGGUGGCUCAGUUGGCUAGGUGCCUGCCUUAGGCUCAGGUCCUGAUCCCAGAGUCCUGGAAUCCAGUCCCACGUCACACUCUCUGCUGAGCAGGGAGUCUGUUUCUCCCUCUCCCUCUGUCCCACCCCCUGGCUCAUGCUCAUUCUCUCUCUCUGAAAUAGUCUUAAAAAAAAGUCAUGGGUGUUCUCGACAAGAAGAGUAAAUGAAAUUCACUGUUCACUACUGAUUAAAGGCCAAUACAGUGAAGUUACAUGUUAAAUUGUAGAUUUAACUUUUCAGUGGAAUGGAUAACUCCAAAGGUUAUAUACGGCUUAUUACCUUGGUAGGACAUUAGCCAGUUUGUAUCUAACUCUGCAACCUUACACUAACAUUCUAUUAUCAAUUGAACUUGAGGUGCCUGGGUGGUUCAGUUGGUUGGGCAUUUGACUCUUGGUUUUGGCUCAGGUCAUGACCUCAGGUCAUUGAUCUCAGGGAUCAAACCCCGUAUCAGGCUCCAUGCUGAGUGUGGAGUCUGCUUCAGAUUCUCUCCCUCUGUGCCUCGCCCCACCCACUACUCUCUCAAAUAAAUUAUUAUUUUUAAUAAAUUCUUUAAAAAAGUAAAAAUAAAUUGUCUCUAAGGAUCCAUUAUGCAAAGGCGCUUUGAUAACAGUUUUAACAUAUGACUGGUUCCCUCAUUAACUGCACUGAAUAUUUGUCACAUGUUCCUUUUAUGUUUGCAUGGGAUUCUAGAUUUCACCUUUUUGAAAUUCUAUUGUAACAAAACUUUUGAUUACUGACUACUGGAGACAGAACAAAAUCUUUUAAAAGUUUACCUGCAUGG
RNAcentral lists this long non-coding RNA (1586 nucleotides) under Canis lupus familiaris (dog). RNAcentral's name for it is "lncRNA (ENSCAFG00000056789.1, ENSCAFG00805029056.1, ENSCAFG00845010724.1)". Lineage: Eukaryota; Metazoa; Chordata; Mammalia; Carnivora; Canidae. The record is from RNAcentral.